This 1245-nucleotide ribosomal RNA is filed under the name metagenome. Its description in RNAcentral is "bacterial LSU rRNA". It matches the Rfam family "Bacterial large subunit ribosomal RNA", at positions 1564 to 2818 of the family's 2925-position model. The record is from RNAcentral.
UGAGUACGAGAUGCUACGGCAUCGAAGCAGUCUAUGUCAUACUUCCAAGAAAAGCUUGCACUGUCAGAAACAGAUAAUGCCUGUACCAUAACCGACACAGGUGGGUAGGUAGAGUAUACUAAGGGGCGCGAGAUAACUCUCUCUAAGGAACUCGGCAAAAUGACUCCGUAACUUCGGGAGAAGGAGUGCCUUAUUUUUAAGGUUGCAAUAACAAGAUCCAAGCAACUGUUUACCAAAAACACAGGUCUCCGCUAAGUCGUAAGACGAUGUAUGGGGGCUGACGCCUGCCCAGUGCCAGAAGGUUAAAGAAGUCGGUUAGCAUUCGCGAAGCUGGUAACUGAAGCCCUGGUGAACGGCGGCCGUAACGAUAACGGUCCUAAGGUAGCGAAAUUCCUUGUCGGGUAAGUUCCGACCCGCACGAAAGGCGUAAUGAUUUGGAUACUGUCUCGGAGAGGGGCUCGGUGAAAUAGACUUGUCUGUGAAGAUGCGGACUACCUGCACCUGGACAGAAAGACCCUAUGAAGCUUUACUGUAACUUGAAAUUGAAAUUGGACUUUAUUUGCGCAGUAUAGGUGGGAGGCGUUGAAAAUAUUCUUGCGGGAAUAUUGGAGCCAUCAGUGAGAUACCACUCUUGUAAUGUUAGAUUUCUAACUUUAUAUCAUUAUCUGGUUAAAGAACAGUUUCAGGCGGGCAGUUUGACUGGGGCGGUCGCCUCCCAAAUGGUAACGGAGGCGCACAAAGGUUUCCUCUGAACGGGUAGAAAUCGUAUCUAGAGUGUAAAGGCACAAGGAAGCUUGACUGUGAGACCUACAAGUCGAGCAGGGACGAAAGUCGGUCUUAGUGAUCUGACGGUGCUGAGUGGAAAGGCCGUCACUCAACGGAUAAAAGUUACUCUAAGGAUAACAGGCUGAUCUCCCCCAAGAGUUCACAUCGACGGGGAGGUUUGGCACCUCGAUGUCGGCUCAUCGCAUCCUGGGGCGGUAGUACGUCCCAAGGGUUGGGCUGUUCGCCCAUGAAAGCGGUACGCGAGCUGGGUUCAGAACGUCGUGAGACAGUUCGGUCCAUAUCCGGUGUAGGCGUUAGAAUAUUGAGAGGAGCCUUCUUUAGUACGAGAGGACCGAGAAGGACAUACCUCUGGUGUACCAGUUAUCGUGCCAACGGUAAACGCUGGGUAGCUAUGUAUGGAGUGGAUGACCGCUGAAAGCAUCUAAGUGGGAAGCCCACCUCAAGAUAAGUAUUCUCAUC